This 471-nucleotide long non-coding RNA is filed under the name Malus domestica (apple). RNAcentral describes it as "long non-coding RNA (MDOM_LNC011949)". The record is from RNAcentral. Lineage: Eukaryota; Viridiplantae; Streptophyta; Magnoliopsida; Rosales; Rosaceae.
UUAAAAACUUUUAUUAAAAAUCGAGUGCUUUAUUAAAAAGUACUUACUUGAAAGUACUUUCUCGUGAGCAUUUCUAUCUUUUGUUUUCUCCAGACACACUCGAAAACACUUCCAACAAACACAAACCGAAACACUUUGAUCAUAUAACAUGCACAAAGACAAAAGCAGUUACUAUUAAACAUAAACACCGUAGCAAACAACACACGUUACACAAACCCAGUCAUAGACAUACUCAACACUCGCAUUUCACACACGUAAAUUAAACAUACAUACCCUUUAAUUAAUAUGUUUUUAAUUCCUAGCCAUACAAAUAUUUAGCUAGAACAAUUCCGCUGCCUUAAUACAGAAGCUGCCCUUGUUGCUGAUAUGCCACCAGGUCAUCCAGCAUCCACAGGUACAACGAGUCCGACUCUCCGCUUCCACUCACCACCUGACUCAGCUGCUCUACCACCACCUCGUCCCCACCCGCCA